This is a long non-coding RNA of Papaver somniferum (opium poppy), 510 nucleotides long. RefSeq lists it as uncharacterized. NCBI's taxonomy places the organism in Eukaryota, Viridiplantae, Streptophyta, Magnoliopsida, Ranunculales, Papaveraceae. The record is from RefSeq and is a predicted model, not a curated record. The transcript has 4 exons.
UCGAAACCCAUAUAAGAGAAAUCCUGAUCCAUCGUUUAGUAGCUUGAAUAUUUUUAGAAUUCCUAGAAAAUCAAUUUUGUUCCUGAAAUCGAAAUCAAAUCAUCAAUCUGAUAUGUUAUUGAGCUUCUAUUACCCAACAGUUUGUUGAUUAUGACAUACUUUAUUAUCAGAUUUACCAACACUCUCAGAAGUAUUUUCAAAAGCUUCAGAAGAAUGGAACAAGUGAACAUUUACCACCUCGAAGGCCAAAACGAAAAGAAGUUCAUCCAUACCCAUAGAAAGCAGCAAAAAAUGGGGGUGUGUCCAUUGUCUUCAAAUCUGUUAGAAUCAAGAUCUGUUCCAAGGCCAGAUCCGUCUUCGCUGCUUAAAACAUGACCUGCACUCUGCAAUGUCUUCAUGGCCUCAGUUAUCCAAUGCUAUACUGGAUUUCUCCCAAGUCUACAGCUUCAUUGGCAAUGUAUUCCACCCUAACACAUGUAAUCACUUGCAGAAACUUAAGGAGAUGAAUCC